RNAcentral lists this non-coding RNA (179 nucleotides) under Metabacillus litoralis. Its description in RNAcentral is "Bacillus litoralis Lysine sequence". It matches the Rfam family "Lysine riboswitch aptamer". From Rfam's summary of the family: Riboswitches are metabolite binding domains within certain messenger RNAs that serve as precision sensors for their corresponding targets. Allosteric rearrangement of mRNA structure is mediated by ligand binding, and this results in modulation of gene expression. The record is from Rfam by way of RNAcentral. Lineage: Bacteria; Bacillati; Bacillota; Bacilli; Caryophanales; Bacillaceae.
AGAUGAGGUAGAGGAGCGAAAAACAUUAGUACAAUAUGUGAGAAUGACACCAAUGACCAUAUUGCAAAGGGCUUUUCGCCGAAGUAAAUGAAUAAGUCAUGAUUCAUUUGCUGGUAUUACUUUGAACAAGGGUAAUACUGUCAUUAUAGAGUUUUCUAUAAUGGAGGGCUACUGAUCGG